RNAcentral lists this ribosomal RNA (238 nucleotides) under uncultured bacterium. RNAcentral's name for it is "partial 16S ribosomal RNA". It matches the Rfam family "Bacterial small subunit ribosomal RNA", at positions 28 to 257 of the family's 1533-position model. The record is from RNAcentral.
GACGAACGCUGGCGGCGUGCUUAACACAUGCAAGUGGAGCGACGAACCAGGGCUUGCCCUGGGGCAAAGCCGCGAACGGGUGAGUAACACGUGGGUAACCUGCCCCGAUGACCGGGACAACCCGAGGAAACUCGGGCGUAAUACCGGAUGAGCUCACGCCACAUCAGUGGCAUGAGGAAAGGAAGCUUCGGCCUCCGCAUUGGGAGUGGGCCCGCGGCCCAUUAGCUUGUUGGNGGGG